CAGACAAUUGUGAAAUGCAGACGUAUAAUUCUAAGUUUACGUAAGAAAUUCAUGCGGAAAUUGGAAAGGUGAUCAAUGGUAGUGGAGGACCAGGGGUACUAUGCAAAUACACAUGCACUCCUCUAACAUGAAGAAAGCUAUAGCAUAACCCAGAUGGAAAGGACUUCAUGAAGAAUUUGCAAGAGCAUCCAAAAUCCCUUCUACAUGCAAAAUGCAAAGAAAAAUGGAUAAAAUCCGAAAGCUACAGCAGUUAUCAACUUACUUUUUUCUAAAUUUCAAUGUUACAGAGUUAUACAAAAAAUUUGUUCUAAAGAGGAAUUAUCAGGAAAAACAAUAACUAUCCUAAUACCUAAAUGUAUUGUAACUAUAACAAACGAUUUUAUGAUGAACAAACACGCAAAUAUAUGAGAACUGAUGACUCCUACUCCUUUGGUUCGGACUAAUUCUUUUUAUAAAUUUGUUAUAAAUGCGUGCAAUGUAUAAAAUUUAAAUAUAAUAA
Molecule: non-coding RNA, 499 nt
Organism: Nomia melanderi (Alkali bee)
Lineage: Eukaryota; Metazoa; Arthropoda; Insecta; Hymenoptera; Halictidae
Source: RefSeq, a predicted model, not a curated record